GGGACCUUCUCAUGGGUGAGCUAUGAUUCAGAAAUCUCCCCGCUUGCAGAUGAAAGUUUCAAAUGAACUGAUUUCCUGAAGCAAUGGGAUGUGCGGUCAAGUGGAGGAAUAUGACUCUGUGAGUCUCAUGCAGAGGUGAAAAGGCACUGUCUGAAACAGGAGCCACUGAACCUCAUUUUAAUCGUGCAUCUGAUCCCACAGCGUCAGCCCUUGCAAUACUAUUCUAUAGUAUCACAUGCAUUACUAUUAAAUUACAUGCCUAUAGGAAAAUCAACAUCUAUUAAAACAGGAUUUUCCAGAUCCAUGUUGCUCACAGACUUGAAAAAAAAAGGCUUCUGAGUUCUGGAAGAAUUUCUCUGCCUGAAGCAAGAUGAGGAAUUGCUUUUCAGAAAGUUUCAGUCUUGAUCUCAUUUUCUAUAAAAAAUAUUAUGGGAAUUCUUUUUAACCCUUGAUCAAAUCAGGUACUGAGCUGCAUCAUAAGAAACAGGCCGUGUUUAUGAGAAACCCAUUAUGAGAUUCUAUCAGCCCUGACGCCCUUUAAAUAAUUGAUCGAAUAACAUCAUGUAUUACAAGAAGUAUUGGAUGCUACUGGCUGGUGUAAUUCUGAUGAACUGAUAUGUGUGCUGCUCGCUUCUCUGCUGAAGACAUCCAUCAUUCAGACAGAGUGAGAGUCAACAAUACAACAAACAGCAUGAAAGAUGCAAAAUUUUCCAUAUCCUACGCAUUUCCCUACAGAUCUUUUUAGCAGAAGCACGUCUAGAUAUAAAACAGUGAACAGUGAAACAGUGGACACCAUUCAAUGUACAGCAAAUUAAAAAUAUCUGUGAAUAUUUUGAAUCUAAUCUUCAUACAAAGCUAUCAUAUAACUCUUUUAAGACUUGGAAUAUGGCUUAAAAGUCAUAUUGUAUACUUUUACGAUGCAUUUUUUCCCUUUGUGGCGGAGUAUCAAUUAAAUUGCCAUCCACUUUUUUGUCUAAUACAAGAAGAGAAAAUAAUAUUGUGUUAUAUUAUGGGUGAGUAAAUUAAGACAAACAUUUCCAUUUCUCGGU
Cyprinus carpio carpio is the source of this 1049-nucleotide long non-coding RNA. NCBI's taxonomy places the organism in Eukaryota, Metazoa, Chordata, Actinopteri, Cypriniformes, Cyprinidae. The record is from Ensembl.